Molecule: long non-coding RNA, 1678 nt
Filed under: Oryzias sinensis (Chinese medaka)
Lineage: Eukaryota; Metazoa; Chordata; Actinopteri; Beloniformes; Adrianichthyidae
Description: lncRNA (ENSOSIG00000010807.1)
Source: RNAcentral
CAAAAUGCCCUGUCAUAUCCAGACAUCUGGUUAAAAUAAAAUAAAAAAUGUUUUUUUAUUCAGAUUGUGAUCCAAACUAUUUUCUGUUCAUUAGAAGUUUUAUUUUUGGAGGGAAUUGUGUUUUUUGCUCCAGGUUCAACAUCCAGCACAACCAAAGGGCCGUGGCUGGAGAGCAGCAGCAUCCACAGCCGCAUGCACACUCCUGUGCUCACCUCCACUGUCCAAAAACGGGCAGCACCGCCGCCGCCACCCACACAGGUCAGAGCAGCAGAGUCGGACGCCGGCAGUGGAUUGGCUGAGCUGGAGUCCGAAGACGAGUUCUCCUCAGGGAUGCUGAUGCGAAAAGUGAAUCCCACAAAACGGGGUCGUCUGAAUUCCGCCCAGACCGCAGCUGCUCGGGAUAAAGAGGAUGUGGCGUCCCACCUGACUUUGUAAGGCUGAUUUCAAAUGGAGGACGGAUUUCUGUGGAGAAUCACUUUUUAUGGGAUUCUUCUUUCAGUCGUAGAAACGUUUGUGUUUUAUCUGCUGUUCAGGCUUUCUCUGAUUGAAGAUGACAUCUCAGAAAGAGAAGAGGGUGAAGAUGAACAGGAGAUUGAAGAUUCUGACAAUGAAUCGCAGUCUUCUUACACACUGCCUUCUACAAGGCACACCUCCGUCAGCGUCCUCGAUGAGCUCUUUGACUGAAAUCAGUCGGGAUCCUCCAGCCAGAGGAGCUUCAGGAGUAAAAAGUACUUUAAAAAAAAAAGGUUUCAUUUUCUGUUUGAGAGCUGUUGCCUUUUGUAACUUUAUUUAUAAAGAUUUUUUUUGUUGUUGUAAAAGAUUAAAUAUUUUUGAAAAGUUGAAAUGUUUACAUUUUAUUGCAAGUAAUGUUCGAAACCUGUCAGCCUUUUUAUAAACUGAAAGUGCAAGGACUUCUUAGUAUGUUGCAUUGUUGGCAACAAGAGUUUUGUUAAACAGUUUUGUUUCUUUUUUUUAAGACUCUUAUUCAAAAGUGUUGUUUGGUGUUUCAUUCUUUUUGAUUUUGUAUUUCAAAAUAAAAAUUAAAUGCUGUAAAACACAGGUAUCAGCCCUGAUUGAUAUGUGUGAUGGGAAAACAUGUUAGGUUUUGAAUGAUUUAAACAUAUAAAGCAGUCAAAGCAGUUAACAACCAUGACAGAUCAUAAAAAUAACUGAAAGAGCCAUUAACCAGAGCUGAAAAAGAUACCAGUAAUAAUUGCAUAAAAAUCUCUUACCUCUAGUUUUGUUUACACAUUCAAUGAGAAAAAAUAACACAAACAUGUUUGCUUUUACAUUUUUUCUAUCAGACAAAAUGUAGAUUAGGGUUGGAUUUUACUCUGUACCUCCUUUGUUUUGUAGGUUCAGUCUGUUCAUGCAAAAUCUUAUCGUCACAUUUCGCGCCAUUCCUGACAAACUGGGCGGAAGUUUAUCCAGUCACGUGAGACGUCGUCUCCAGCAACUUUCCCGCCACUAUCAAAUCCCGCCCCUCCUCCGUGAAAGCUGCGACACUAUUGGCUGAUGCGAUUGUCAGACUCGCGCCACUUUUUGCUCUCCGACCGACACGAGCUGGGUGCUUGUGAAUGAGUUCAGCACUCCAAGAAUAGAAAAUAAAAUAUAUAUUUAAGCUUUACGUUCGACUUCAUCUGGGCUUUGUAGCGUUGCGUUACGAAUCAUCUGUCGC